RNAcentral lists this ribosomal RNA (820 nucleotides) under uncultured Propionibacterium sp. Its description in RNAcentral is "bacterial SSU rRNA". It matches the Rfam family "Bacterial small subunit ribosomal RNA", at positions 720 to 1532 of the family's 1533-position model. Lineage: Bacteria; Bacillati; Actinomycetota; Actinomycetes; Propionibacteriales; Propionibacteriaceae. The record is from RNAcentral.
GGCGGUUCUUCUGGGCCUUUCCUGACGCUGAGGAGGCGAAAGCGUGGGGAGCGAACAGGCUUAGAUACCCUGGUAGUCCACGCUGUAAACGGUGGGUACUAGGUGUGGGGUCCAUUCCACGGGUUCCGCGCCGUAGCUAACGCUUUAAGUACCCCGCCUGGGGAGUACGGCCGCAAGGCUAAAACUCAAAGGAAUUGACGGGGCCCCGCACAAGCGGCGGAGCAUGCGGAUUAAUUCGAUGCAACGCGUAGAACCCUUACCUGGGUUUGACAUGGAUCGGGAGUGCUCAGAGAUGGGUGUGCCUCUUUUGGGGUCGGUUCACAGGUGGUGCAUGGCUGUCGUCAGCUCGUGUCGUGAGAUGUUGGGCUAAGUCCCGCAACGAGCGCAACCCUUGUUCACUGUUGCCAGCACGUUAUGGUGGGGACUCAGUGGAGACCGCCGGGGUCAACUCGGAGGAAGGUGGGGAUGACGUCAAGUCAUCAUGCCCCUUAUGUCCAGGGCUUCACGCAUGCUACAAUGGCUGGUACAGAGAGUGGCGAGCCUGUGAGGGUGAGCGAAUCUCGGAAAGCCGGUCUCAGUUCGGAUUGGGGUCUGCAACUCGACCUCAUGAAGUCGGAGUCGCUAGUAAUCGCAGAUCAGCAACGCUGCGGUGAAUACGUUCCCGGGGCUUGUACACACCGCCCGUCAAGUCAUGAAAGUUGGUAACACCCGGAGCCGGUGGCCUAACCGUUGUGGGGGAGCCGUCGAAGGUGGGACUGGUGAUUAGGACUAAGUCGUAACAAGGUAGCCGUACCGGAAGGUGCGGCUGGAUCACCUCCUU